GACGAACCGUCCAAACGUUAUUCGGUAUUACUGGGCUUAAAGGGUGCGUAGGCGGCCUGUUAAGUUGGGUGUGAAAUCCCUCGGCUCAACCGAGGAACUGCGCCCAAAACUAGCAGGCUUGAGGGAGUCAGAGGUGAGCGGAACUCAGGGUGGAGCGGUGAAAUGCGUUGAUAUCCUGGGGAACACCGGUUGCGAAAGCGGCUCACUGGGGCUCUACUGACGCUGAGGCACGAAAGCUAGGGGAGCAAACGGGAUUAGAUACCCCGGUAGUCCUAGCUGUAAACGUUGAGUACUUGGUCGGAGGAUCUUCCAUAGUUCUCCGGCCGUAGCGAAAGUGAUAAGUACUCCGCCUGGGGAGUAUGGUCGCAAGGCUGAA
This 376-nucleotide ribosomal RNA is filed under the name uncultured bacterium. RNAcentral's name for it is "bacterial SSU rRNA". It matches the Rfam family "Bacterial small subunit ribosomal RNA", at positions 524 to 898 of the family's 1533-position model. The record is from RNAcentral.